This is a long non-coding RNA of Pleuronectes platessa (European plaice), 1309 nucleotides long. RefSeq lists it as uncharacterized. The record is from RefSeq and is a predicted model, not a curated record. The transcript is spliced from 2 exons. NCBI's taxonomy places the organism in Eukaryota, Metazoa, Chordata, Actinopteri, Pleuronectiformes, Pleuronectidae.
UAGAAGUGGAUCAGUGUCACAUAUCAACUGUUGUUUCUUUUAGGAAACUUCACAUCAGAGGAGACUCCAGCCUCCACUGGUAUUUUUCUUAUUCAUAUACAUCUACUUGUUUUGGAGGAAAUACUCAAUAUUAAUCAACACAUUUUCCAUUAUUGAGUGAAGCCUUUUGGUUGUCUGGUUCUCCUCCUGCUCUGUCUUUUCAUCAAGGUCUAAUUUCAUCAGGAAGAUCCCUCAGGAUCUAAUGAGAUGAAAGAAACUACAAUGGGACUCAGUAGAGCGCAUAUUCACCAAGGCCCAGCAGUCCCCUUAAAUACAAUCAAGCUGCACCAAAUUUCACACACUCAUAGAUAUCAGUCCUCUACAUACGGCAGAUUUUUUUCAUUAAGGUCCAAGAAUUAUUCCCUAGGAAAACGUUUUAAAAGCACAAUGUUAAAGAAAGAGUUAAAAAAUGACUGGAUCAGCUUAAUACCAAAAUACAGUGGGCCCUUUCCUGACACUUACUACAUCUGUCUGCCAAGUUGAUUGGAAAUCCAAUUGUUGUUGUUAUUAUAACAGUUUUAUUUAUUUAAACAAGUAUUAUGUCGUCUUGAUCAGGUUCCUGGAAAUGGAUCAUUGCUUCAUGUGGGGUUCUACUUCUGAUCGUCAUUCCUUUGACUGUUUGGCUCGUUUGUCACUACAGGUACCAGAAGUUCUGCACUUGGAGCUGCUGGCCUGUUUCCAAACAGGAAGUUCCAGCAGGGGUGCUUCCUGCCACCAAGUUGGAUGUGACGAAGGUGCAGUGGGACCUGUCAUGGAUGGAGAUGUCCAACCUGUUGGAAAAGGAUUCUUAUUGUGGCACUUAAAGGGAAACUCUCUUCUGAAGCCCAGAGACUUAACUAUUGGGUCAAACCUAUGAGAAAGCUCAGUCAGUGCUGCAAUUUGUAGUAUUUGAUGGUCACAUGUCAAAAUAGUGCUACCUGAUAUAUUUUUGAAUUGAAUUAAAUGAGAUGUUUAGGAUUUAUAAGGAUGACUACAUUUGCUGAUGGUGCAGAUUUGAUAGCUUCCAAUACAAAUGUUAUUGUUUCAGUUGUCACAUUUGUCAAUGUCAGUACUCUUGCACAUUUAAAUGUCUCUCCUUUGAGUACAUUUUGAAACUAAGAAUCGUAUUUGUUAUAUCUUAUUAUCUAAUCAUUAAUAUAAUUGACUGUUCUAAAUCAUUUUACAUGUAUCAUUUCUCCUGUGUUUGUUCGAGGUUCCAUGUUGUUUGCUCCCUUUGAAUCGUUAUUUGCUAUUUCUUGUCGUCUGAAGUUAUAAAAGUCAUGGAAAUCGU